Molecule: transfer RNA, 64 nt
Filed under: Chorisoserrata biceps
Lineage: Eukaryota; Metazoa; Arthropoda; Insecta; Blattodea; Pseudophyllodromiidae
Description: tRNA-Asp
Source: RNAcentral
GAAGAUUUAGUUAAUAUAACAUUGAAUUGUCAAUUCAAAAUAAUCAAUUUAUUGAUAUUCUUUU